Bombina bombina (fire-bellied toad) is the source of this 251-nucleotide long non-coding RNA. RefSeq lists it as uncharacterized. Lineage: Eukaryota; Metazoa; Chordata; Amphibia; Anura; Bombinatoridae. The transcript is spliced from 3 exons. The record is from RefSeq and is a predicted model, not a curated record.
GAAAGAAACAUUCUUGUGACGGGGGGACUGGACAGGACUGUGCGCUUGUGGAAUCUUCAUGUGCCUGGAUGGCCUAUUGGUGUGUUGCGGGGACAUGGUUCACCAAUAAUGUACCUACGGAUUGGAGAUGAAAACACAAGAAUAUAUUCUAUAUCUGCAGAUUGCACAGUAAUGGUUUGGGACAUUGAAGACCACUCUUGUCUGGUUAGAGUGAUUUCAAAAGCAAGUUACAUCAAAGGAGAGCUAGACGC